RNAcentral lists this ribosomal RNA (492 nucleotides) under Triticum aestivum (bread wheat). RNAcentral's name for it is "partial small subunit ribosomal RNA". Lineage: Eukaryota; Viridiplantae; Streptophyta; Magnoliopsida; Poales; Poaceae. The record is from RNAcentral.
CCCGGCUGUGACGGCGGCUUCCUGGAGCAGAUAGACGCGUCGCCGCCGCGCCGGGCCGUCGCACCCCGCCCCCACGGGGUCAACGAGGUCCUGCCCCGCCGCAGCCGGCGUGGCGCCUCGGGUGACCGCUCGGGGUCGCCGUACAACCCAGUCAUCGUGCUCCGGCGCUCCGCCGCCCCUCCCUGCGACGAGGCCCCCAGCGCCACCAGCAGCUUCGAGCUCUUCUACGACGACGGCGCCGGAUCCGGCCUCCGCCCGCUGCCCGAGACCAUGUUUGACUUCCUCAUGGGGUCCGGACUCGAGCGGUUCCUCAAGCAGCUCGCCCAGAUCGAGGCCGGCGGCUUCGGCGCCGUCCGCCCCUGCGACAACCCUCCGGACUGCAAGGCCGCCAUCGAGCCCAUGCCCACCGUCGCCGUCGCCGCCUGCCCUGGCCACGUCGGCGUCGACUCCCACUGCUUCGUCUGCAAGGAGGCCUUCGAGCAGGGCGACUAG